GACGAACGCUGGCGGCGUGCCUAAUACAUGCAAGUCGAGCGAAGUUUUUCUGGUGCUUGCACUAGAAAAACUUAGCGGCGAACGGGUGAGUAACACGUAAAGAACCUGCCUCAUAGACUGGGACAACUAUUGGAAACGAUAGCUAAUACCGGAUAACAGUAUUUCUCGCAUGAGAGAUAUUUAAAAGUUGGUUAUGCUAACACUAUGAGAUGGCUUUGCGGUGCAUUAGCUAGUUGGUGGGGUAAAGGCCCACCAAGGCGACGAGGCAUAGCCGACCUGAGAGGGUGAUCGGCCAGACUGGGACUGAGACACGGCCCAGACUCCGACGGGAGGAAGCAGUAGGGAAUCUUCCGCAAUGGGCGAAAGCCUGACGGAGCAACGCCGCGUGAGUGAAGAAGGAUUUCGGUUCGUAAAGCUCUGUUGUUAGGGAAGAAUGGAUAUGUAGUAACUAUACAUGUAAGAGACGGUACCUAACCAGAAAGCCACGGCUAACUACGUG
This 499-nucleotide ribosomal RNA is filed under the name uncultured bacterium. RNAcentral describes it as "partial 16S ribosomal RNA". It matches the Rfam family "Bacterial small subunit ribosomal RNA", at positions 28 to 507 of the family's 1533-position model. The record is from RNAcentral.